AAGGCAAAUAAGAAUUCUAGUACAAAAAACAUAUUAUCAUAAAAUAAUAUUUGAAAAAUAUUUAAAUCAUUAAAUAGUUUCCAUUUCUAACAAAGGUAACAUUUAAGAAAUUAGAUAACUAAUAACAAAUAAAGUUUCAUUUCAUGGGCCUUUUCAGAAACCAUAGCUUAUUUAUAGACACUGGGAGGCAGUAAGUGUAUUCUUUUGACCAUAGUACCACAUUUUGAAGACAUCACAUUUCUUUGAGUCUUAGAAGACAUUGAAAGUAGUUUGAAUGUAUUUCUCUAUUAAAGAUUAAGAAAUGAUUUGAAAAUAUAAAACAAAUAGAUGUAAUUGAACACAUCAUUUGUUAUCUAAACAAUUUUAAAAAAUUGUGAAGUUUGUCGUGAAGGCCAACAGGAACAUGCCACACUUUAACAACAAACAAAACGGCCGACAUUUUACAUAAAGAAAAAGGAGGUUUCCCACACAGCUGCUAUUCCACUGCUCUGCUAGCAUAUUUCAUUGCCAAACUGAACUGGUGAGAUGACCGACCAUUAGGCCACAAAUUUUAAAUGGCCCAAAUCAAAGGCUUGACCCUAUUUUGUUGCAUCAGCAAAAGUAUCACAAGGUUUCUAAGAAUUACAUUGUGUACAGUUCAAUUGACCUCCAGCUGCAACCAGCUGUUCCUGGUGGGGAAUACAGAAAUGGAUGGAAGGUGGAGAUCAUGGCUGAUGCUUCAGCAAGAAUUCAGAAAGAUUUAUCUUUAGGACCAUGAGACCGGAAACCACAACAAGAGAAUAAGAGAAAAGUAGCCUGAAUCCUUGACACUGUGAAGUGAAAGAGAGAAUAAACUGCUUUCAAUUAUGAUUACACUAGAAUUUCUGC
Long non-coding RNA from Rhinolophus ferrumequinum (greater horseshoe bat), 867 nucleotides. RefSeq lists it as uncharacterized. Lineage: Eukaryota; Metazoa; Chordata; Mammalia; Chiroptera; Rhinolophidae. The record is from RefSeq and is a predicted model, not a curated record. The transcript is spliced from 5 exons.